Molecule: ribosomal RNA, 403 nt
Filed under: uncultured bacterium
Lineage: Bacteria
Description: partial 16S ribosomal RNA
Rfam family: Bacterial small subunit ribosomal RNA
Source: RNAcentral
GACGAACGCUGGCGGCGUGCCUAAUACAUGCAAGUCGAACGCAGUGGGGACGGGUGAGUAACACGUGGGUAACCUCCCAUCAGAGGGGAUAACACUUGGAAACAGGUGCUAAACCGAUACUGAUGGAUGGACCCGCGGUGCAUUCUCGAGUUGGUGAGGUAACGGCUCACCAAGGCCACGAUGCAUAGCCGAACUGAGAGGUGGGUCGGCCAUACUGGAACUGCGACACGGCCCAGAAUCAUACGGUAGGGAGCAUUAGGGAAUCUUCGGAAAUGGACGAAAGUCUGACCCAGCAACGCCGCGUGAGGGAAGAAGGUUUUCGGAUCGUAAAACGCUGUUGGUAGAGAAGCGGUAUCUAACCAGAAAGCAACGGCUAACUACGUGCCAGCAGACGCGGUAAUAC